Long non-coding RNA from Sciurus carolinensis (gray squirrel), 607 nucleotides. RefSeq lists it as uncharacterized. The transcript is spliced from 3 exons. The record is from RefSeq and is a predicted model, not a curated record. Lineage: Eukaryota; Metazoa; Chordata; Mammalia; Rodentia; Sciuridae.
CAUCCAUCCUUUGAAGCAUCCAGAAGAAAGCACAUUUUCUUUGAAGUCCUGGGAUUUCCUCUGAUUGGAACACUUAAGGUCAAGUGCUCACUGCAGAAGCAAUCAGUCCAGCUGGAGGAGAGUUGGUUGUAUCCCAUUUCACAGACAAGAACCUGAAGCUCAGAAAGGAGACGGGAUGUGCUCAGGUGUAAGUGCAAAACAAUGGAUGAAGACCUCUCAGAGAAGCCUUUUAUUCAUUCGUGGACUCGAGCACCAUCGGCCUCAUUUUCCAGACGCGAAAAUGGUCCUCAGUUACAGAGGGAAUUUUGGUUUUAUAGGGUACAAUGAGGAUGGUUUAAUCAUUGGAAGCCGUGCAUGUGCAGUUUGGACGGUCAGGGGCUAAUUGUACAGAUUAAAAUUUUAACUUAGGAGGGUAGUUGUGAAAAGGUUGAAACUCAGUGUUGUCUGGGGAGAGAGGGGUCCAGAUCCCAAGGGAUGAGUACUUAAAUCUUUUCUAUUGCUUUUCUUUCUCUAGGAUCCAUUGUUUACCAGAGUUUCAAUAUUUGCUGUGCCUCCAUUUAGGACUAAUUUGCAAUGGGGGAAGGUCAAAGUUUAUGGCCCAGCAUUC